UACGUGUCAUGUUAAGACAUAUGUGUUAUGCUAUGCUUAAACAAAAAUUAUUCCACAUGCAACGGGACGGAGUACUUCAGUAUAACCCUAAUCCCAACUCUAACAUCUCGAUUUAUUUCAACACUUAUGUCUCAACUAACCUUAACUCUAACAUCUCAAACCUCUCAUUCCAAUAGGACUGGCGCCCAGAGAGCAAAACUCGACCAGGGACCUUACCUC
This 219-nucleotide long non-coding RNA is filed under the name Ricinus communis (castor bean). Its description in RNAcentral is "long non-coding RNA (RCOM_LNC003100)". The record is from RNAcentral. Lineage: Eukaryota; Viridiplantae; Streptophyta; Magnoliopsida; Malpighiales; Euphorbiaceae.